GUUCUGCACAGUACUUCACGUGCACUCUAGCUGAGACAGAUGUGCUGUAUGGAGAUUUGGGAUCUAUUUGCAUGUGUAGAAUCAAAGGCCUCGCGUGCAGCUGUUCUGUGAAAGGCUGUGAGUCAAUGGCAUUGUCGCUCCAGCUAUACCAAACAGUCCAGGGGGUGCUCAAGAAAGAAAAGUUUUAUUUUGCUUUACAAUGACAUAAUAACCAUAUUUUUUUUUUUUUUUGAGUGGGGAAAGUCUUAAAUCUAACUUUAAAACUUCACUGUAAGUCCUCUAUUUUUCUUUUCUCUUUCUCUAUAUAUUUUAAAAAACAUAUUUUAAUUUUUAUUUUAUUUUUGAAGUUCUGAUACUGGUUUGUCUUAAAUGUUUUAAAAGUUUAGAGUUCUAAAAGUUCAGAAGUUACUGGAUUCCCUUGCCCUUUUCAAUCCCUCCCCCAGGGAGGGCUGCAGUUCCAGAGUUAGGUGUCUGUGCGGAGCUGGGAGUACUCUGCAGGGCAGCUCCAGGGGCUGCGUUAUCUCUGUGCUCUGAGCUGCAGCUUCACGCCAGCUGUCCGCUGAAGGAACAAGAAUCAGCUCCCUGCCAUGCUGGCGUAAUGCUAAGUGGAGCAUAGGAAAAACACAGCAUUGCUGAUUUAACAGAGAAGAAUUUACAAACAAAGGUCUUUCUGCCCUCCUGCAAACUCCCCUGAGUGCAGGCCCUCACUGCCUCCCUGCCCGCGUAGGCCUUCUGGAACCAGACAGAGCACAUCGCUGCAGGACGCCAGAGUGAGCCAGGUACGAUGAGAAUUUCUUACAAACUUGAAAGAAAACUUAGUAGAAGGUCUCUGAAGAAAGAACGGUCAAGCCAGGAGCUCCGAGAGUGCUUUUCAUCGCCCACAAGAGGAGGAAAGUUUUGCCUGGUUUGGAAAACUGGUGAAAUUAAAGGUAAGAAGUUGAAAAACUCGUCACUGGAUAAUGAAUGGUUUAUUACUUCAGUUAAUUUUAUGAAGACCUUUUCCGUUUGCUAAAUUGAAAUGAUCUGUUUCUUGAAAUGAGACACAAAUUAAGAGAGCCUUGUUCUGAAACCUUAACUGCUGGAUUUAGUCUGUGCUGUACUUGUGGCACUGAUGAAAGUCAUUCCAGCAAAUUGUCACACAGCGGGCCAAGGGCUGAUCUGUUUUACUCCUUGCUCGUGUAGCUGGGAUAAGAAUGCACUGAAAGCACCACUACAAGACAAAGAAAUGUUACUGUGCUGGCAAAAUGAUUCUUGAGACCUCCUGGCCUUUUUAUUUAUGAGAGACAAAUUCCAGUGAAGGGUAAUAAUAAUGGCAAGGCUUUUAAUAGUCUGUUGAGCCCUGUUUUGCAGGAGCUGGGCAAACACUGGGAGCUCUAAGGCUGCUCUGCAUUUGGCUGAAAUUAAAGGUGCACAUAGUGUUGGGGAUUUAUUUUCCGAUCUAUAGAAUUCUAUGAAAACUGUAAUUCAGCUGUGCCCAGGGAGAUGUCUCCAUUAAUGCUCCAUUAAUAUUUUAAAAGUCAGUCCAGUCCUUGAGUUGUCAAUGUUCCCUUAUAACAUCUGUUUACUAGCAAGUAAAACCAUGCUCUAAGCAUGGGGUCUGAACAUUCAAAGGGUUUAAAAACAAGCCAUUACAGAACCAGAACUCUAAUCCUUCAGUUAAUCACCAGCAAUAUUUGGAAAGGGAAGAGCUAUUGGAUAUCUACCUUGCAUCAGAUAAGCACCAGGAAUAAUGCACAUCCAGAAACGAAAUCUGUGUAAAUCACUGCAAAGUUGACCAAAGCUGCAUUUUGUGGCAUUCGAAAUACAAGAAAGGUCUGAUGGGGGUGAUGGGAAGCUGUUCAACUGCUGAAAAAUGCUUGAUUUGUAAUAAAAAAGCGGGUUAUUUACUAAGGCUAAAGUUU
RNAcentral lists this long non-coding RNA (1901 nucleotides) under Anas platyrhynchos platyrhynchos (common mallard). RNAcentral describes it as "lncRNA (ENSAPLG00000023566.1)". The record is from RNAcentral. Lineage: Eukaryota; Metazoa; Chordata; Aves; Anseriformes; Anatidae.